GACGAACGCUGGCGGCGUGCUUUACACAUGCAAGUCGAACGGUGAAGGUGGAGCUUGCUCCGCCGGAUCAGUGGCGAACGGGUGAGUAACACGUGGGCAACCUGCCCCUAACUUUGGGAUAACUACUCGAAAGAGUAGCUAAUACCGGAUAUGAAGUCUGUAGGCAUCUAUGGAUUUGGAAAGUUUUUCGGUUAGGGAUGGGCCCGCGGCCUAUCAGCUUGUUGGUGAGGUAGUGGCUCACCAAGGCGACGACGGGUAGCCGGCCUGAGAGGGCGACGGGCCACACUGGGACUGAGACACGGCCCAGACUCCUACGGGAGGCAGCAGUGGGGAAUAUUGCGCAAUGGGCGAAAGCCUGACGCAGCAACGCCGCGUGCGGGAUGAAGGCCUUCGGGUUGUAAACCGCUUUCAGCAGGGAAGAAGCGAAAGUGACGGUACCUGCAGAAAAAGCACCGGCUAACUACGUGCCAGCCGCCGCCGUAA
Molecule: ribosomal RNA, 483 nt
Filed under: uncultured bacterium
Lineage: Bacteria
Description: partial 16S ribosomal RNA
Rfam family: Bacterial small subunit ribosomal RNA
Source: RNAcentral